This 708-nucleotide long non-coding RNA is filed under the name Amborella trichopoda. Its description in RNAcentral is "long non-coding RNA (ATRI_LNC004309)". Lineage: Eukaryota; Viridiplantae; Streptophyta; Magnoliopsida; Amborellales; Amborellaceae. The record is from RNAcentral.
UCUUACAUCUGGGGUCUCCCAAGCCCCUCACAUUCUAAAAAAUGAUUAACAUUUAACAUGGAGGUUUAGAAGAAGAGCAAGGACCAUCCACACAAGGUCCAAAAUAUGCCCCUUCUAACAUGAGGGCCUCCUUCAAAACUGAUGAGUCGGAGACCUCACUAUCAUCAAAAGACGACACCUUGCUGCUAAUCUCCACCAUAGCCUAGUCGUUCGAGGGAAAAAGCUUCGAUUUGGGAACACUCUUAAUGAUGCCCCUAGAAGCAUGGGAGUCGAUGACCUAGACCCUCAGCAGGAACUCUUCCCUUUUCUCUUCUUAUCUAUCUUCUUCACCUGAGUUUGAAUAGUGUCAGACGAAUUCUUUAUAACAUCCUUCACCAGCAUUUUUUCUGCUACCACUCUUGCUUUCUUCCUCAGCUUGAUUUCAUUGAGGAUAACUUUAAAGGGCACAUCCCCAUCCAUACCCAUAUCUUCCAUCAUAACUCCCACUUUAGCUCCCUCCUCCACAUCCGCCACUUCAACAUCUCUUCCAAGCGCAUCAUUCUCUUCCUCUGUUGACAAACCAUCCACCACUGCCUGAUUACAUAGGGGAGGCAAAAAGGCAGGUAACUGAACUGGCUCAGCCUGAGGAAGCAAAGCCAAAGGCUGAAUAUCACCCUCAACUGGAGCCAACUCUGGAUCGAAGAACUCAUCAUCAGGUCAGUGGGAUCA